This 253-nucleotide ribosomal RNA is filed under the name uncultured bacterium. Its description in RNAcentral is "partial 16S ribosomal RNA". It matches the Rfam family "Bacterial small subunit ribosomal RNA", at positions 524 to 776 of the family's 1533-position model. The record is from RNAcentral.
UACGUAGGUGGCAAGCGUUGUCCGGAUUUACUGGGCGUAAAGAGCGCGCAGGCGGUCGUACAAGUCGCGUGUGAAAGCCCCCGGCUCAACUGGGGAGGGUCACGCGAUACUGUUCGACUCGAAGGCAGGAGAGGGAAGCAGAAUUCCCGGUGUAGCGGUGAAAUGCGUAGAGAUCGGGAAGAACAUCGGUGGCGAAAGCGCUCUACUGGACCGCAACUGACACUCAGGGACGAAAGCGAGGGGAGCGAAUGGG